RNAcentral lists this ribosomal RNA (746 nucleotides) under uncultured bacterium. RNAcentral describes it as "bacterial SSU rRNA". It matches the Rfam family "Bacterial small subunit ribosomal RNA", at positions 8 to 796 of the family's 1533-position model. The record is from RNAcentral.
AGAGUUUGAUCCUGGCUCAGGAUGAACGCUGGCGGUCUGCUUAACACAUGCAAGUCGAACGCAAGUAGCAAUACUUGAGUGGCGGACGGGUGAGUAACGCGUGAGAAUCUGCCUUUUGGUCGGGGACAACCAUUGGAAACGAUGGCUAAUACCCGAUGUGCCUAUGGGUGAAAGAUUUAUUGCCAGAAGAGGAGCUCGCGUCUGAUUAGCUAGUUGGUAGGGUAAAAGCCUACCAAGGCAUCGAUCAGUAGCUGGUCUGAGAGGAUGACCAGCCACACUGGGACUGAGACACGGCCCAGACUCCUACGGGAGGCAGCAGUGGGGAAUUUUCCGCAAUGGGCGAAAGCCUGACGGAGCAAGACCGCGUGAGGGAGGAAGGCUCUUGGGUCGUAAACCUCUUUUGUCAGGGAAGAACACAAUGACGGUACCUGACGAAUCAGCCUCGGCUAACUCCGUGCCAGCAGCCGCGGUAAUACGGAGGAGGCAAGCGUUAUCCGGAAUUAUUGGGCGUAAAGCGUCCGCAGGUGGCACCUCAAGUCUGCUGUCAAAGACCGGGGCUUAACCCCAGAAAGGCAGUGGAAACUGAAGUGCUAGAGUGCAGUAGGGGUAGAGGGAAUUCCCGGUGUAGCGGUGAAAUGCGUAGAGAUCGGGAAGAACAUCGGUGGCGAAAGNNCUCUGCUGGACUGCAACUGACACUCAGGGACGAAAGCUAGGGGAGCGAAUGGGAUUAGAUACCCUAGUAGUCC